GCCGGUGAGGUGCUCGUCGUCUAUACAUACCCUGUAGAACCGAAUGUGUGUGCAGCUGACUUGAUCACAGAUUGGGUUCUAGGGGAGUCUAUGGGCGCUGAAUAAUCAUCGAUGAACGGC
This 120-nucleotide microRNA precursor is filed under the name Tetraodon nigroviridis (spotted green pufferfish). RNAcentral's name for it is "microRNA tni-mir-10d precursor". Its record names the gene tni-mir-10d. The stretch from base 21 to 95 matches the Rfam family "mir-10 microRNA precursor family". Rfam says of the family: In this case the mature sequence comes from the 5' arm of the precursor. The record is from miRBase by way of RNAcentral. Lineage: Eukaryota; Metazoa; Chordata; Actinopteri; Tetraodontiformes; Tetraodontidae.